CCUACGGGAGGCAGCAGUGGGGAAUAUUGGGCAAUGGGCGCAAGCCUGACCCAGCAACGCCGCGUGAAGGAAGAAGGCUUUCGGGUUGUAAACUUCUUUUCUCAGGGACGAAGAAAGUGACGGUACCUGAGGAAUAAGCCACGGCUAACUACGUGCCAGCAGCCGCGGUAAUACGUAGGUGGCAAGCGUUAUCCGGAUUUACUGGGUGUAAGGGGCGUGUAGGCGGGAAAGUAAGUCAGAUGUGAAAACCAUGGGCUUAACCUGUGGACUGCAUUUGAAACUGUUCUUCUUGAGUACUGGAGAGGCAGACGGAAUUCCUCGUGUAGCGGUGAAAUGCGUAGAUAUGAGGAGGAACACCAGUGGCGAAGGCGGUCUGCUGGACAGCAACUGACGCUGAGGCGCGAAAGCGUGGGGAGCAAACAGGAUUAGAUACCCCGGUAGUC
Molecule: ribosomal RNA, 443 nt
Filed under: uncultured bacterium
Lineage: Bacteria
Description: partial 16S ribosomal RNA
Rfam family: Bacterial small subunit ribosomal RNA
Source: RNAcentral